Long non-coding RNA from Passer domesticus (house sparrow), 1151 nucleotides. RefSeq lists it as uncharacterized. The transcript is spliced from 3 exons. NCBI's taxonomy places the organism in Eukaryota, Metazoa, Chordata, Aves, Passeriformes, Passeridae. The record is from RefSeq and is a predicted model, not a curated record.
CCAGGCAGCUGAAGCAAGCCCAUCUCUGACACUGACUGAAUACCAAUGAAGCCAAGGUCACCUAAAGCCAAGCCAGAGGGAGAACACCACCCAGAAAAAGAUGUCACUUCUGGACCAGCAGCAAUCACCGUGGGAUGGAAACCAAAAAGUGCUUGCCACAGUUCAAUAAUGGAGGGAAGAAACAGCUGGUCUGUGCAUUUGUGAGUGAGCAGCAUUUAAUAAGGUGGUCAGAACUUCACACACUUGAUCUUGACUUCAGACCAUUGCAAAGCCAAGAACAGCAGAUGAACCCUACAGAGAUGGAGAAAAGCUGCAUGAUGGACCUUUUCAAUUUCUUCAUGCACCAAGAUGAAAGUCAAGACAGGGGCACAUGAACACUGGAAAAGAACAGGCUUUUAGCCUGCAGUCUAACCUUCUGGUUCUGGUUGUUUCUAGUGCCUUUGGCAAUUCACUGGUACAAAAGAAAAUAUUGAUUUAGAGAUCUGUCAUAGCAUUGCAUCUUCUCAUUAAAUACAGUGGGGAAAUUGAGAAUUCUGAGUAUUGAAUUUCAGAAAGGAAAAAUUUAUCAGCUACUGCAGCAGACUUUUCCAAACCAUAGAAAGUAUUAUCAAAACAUAAAUGUAAUAUCAGAGCAGUCAUGUAAUUUGAUUGGUUUUCUUCACUACCUUCCCCAUGCUCCCACACUACAGUCAGCAUUUGAGCUCUCUUGGCUCAGAAGAUGCCUGCAGCAUGGAAGAAUGAUGUGCACUUCCAGCUGUGCCCAGCUGCUCUCCAGCCAGCAAAGUGCUGUGGGGCAGACCCAUUUUUUUCGCAUUUCUACCAGCACCAGCAUUGGAGGGUGUUGGCUUUCUGAUAGUGUGAUUUUCAAGCUGUAAGUUUUUAAUUUCACUUCACAGCAGCCCAGCCAGGCACUCUCCUAAGAUGAUUAAAUGUUGGUUUUUGCCUGUUGAGCUCUGGCAGAGUGUUCCAUGAGUGCACUCAUACCGGGAAAGCUCUUAGAGCAGUUGGCUGGCUCUGUAAGUAUCCUUCCAAUGAGAACUGGAAAGGCUGCAGUAUUUAUCUUGCUGAUUUGUGGGCAUUUUUCAGAUGGGAGCCUUUGGUCACAAAAAUACCACAGACAAAGCUAAAGCAGCUGCUGUGAGACUUUCUCA